GUACCUUCAAGCUCUGCUUGGUGUUGGGUGUUUGUCCCGCCUUUGUGCGCGGACUCGCCUUAAAGCAAUUGGCAGCCGGCGUAUAGAUUUCGGAGCGCAGCACAAUCCGCGCUUUGUACUCAUUACGACGACAUCCAUCAAGACAUUUUUUAAC
This 154-nucleotide unclassified non-coding RNA is filed under the name Neoascochyta desmazieri. RNAcentral describes it as "partial internal transcribed spacer 2". The record is from RNAcentral. Lineage: Eukaryota; Fungi; Ascomycota; Dothideomycetes; Pleosporales; Didymellaceae.